RNAcentral lists this ribosomal RNA (253 nucleotides) under uncultured bacterium. Its description in RNAcentral is "partial 16S ribosomal RNA". It matches the Rfam family "Bacterial small subunit ribosomal RNA", at positions 524 to 776 of the family's 1533-position model. The record is from RNAcentral.
UACGGAGGGGGCUAGCGUUGUUCGGAAUUACUGGGCGUAAAGCGCACGUAGGCGGCUUUGUAAGUUAGAGGUGAAAGCCCGGAGCUCAACUCCGGAAUAGCCUUUAAGACUGCAUCGCUAGAACGUUGGAGAGGUAAGUGGAAUUCCGAGUGUAGAGGUGAAAUUCGUAGAUAUUCGGAAGAACACCAGUGGCGAAGGCGGCUCACUGGCCCGGUACUGACGCUGAGAUACGAAAGCGUGGGGAGCAAACAGG